CAAGUUAAUUUAUUAGGUAAGAUUUUCAUUUACAUUGAGAAGUUGAUUGUGCAAUUCAGUCUAACUUGA
This 69-nucleotide transfer RNA is filed under the name Chorisoserrata biceps. Its description in RNAcentral is "tRNA-Val". The record is from RNAcentral. Lineage: Eukaryota; Metazoa; Arthropoda; Insecta; Blattodea; Pseudophyllodromiidae.